Molecule: long non-coding RNA, 417 nt
Organism: Arvicola amphibius (Eurasian water vole)
Lineage: Eukaryota; Metazoa; Chordata; Mammalia; Rodentia; Cricetidae
Exons: 3
Source: RefSeq, a predicted model, not a curated record
GGCAGUGCUCCGGCAGGUGCCUGGCACGUCUGUCAAGGUGAUGGCUGAUCGCGCAGGCCUGGCCUUCUUGGCGUCCCCAAAGAUCUCAUCUGGCUGCAGUAAGCUACUGAUGUGAUAACUUCGCGCUACUUUCUGACUGGUCGCCCCGCCUUCCCCGAGAUUUGGAUGUAGAACUCUCAGCUCCUCCAGGACCGUGUCUGCCUGUGUGCUACCAUGCUUCCCACCAUGCUGAUAAUGGACUAAACCUCUGAAACUGCACUCUCACUGUGCAGUCUGGGCUCGCCUGUAAUGUGUGAUCAUCCUGCCUCAGCUUCUGGAGUGCUGGGGUUUGGUGUUACGUUUUCUGUCCAUUUCUCUCUUAUUUCUCUAUGAAUACUUUCAUUUGAUUGUGUUUCCAUUAAAAAUGUUUAUACUGUA